CCAGACAGCCAGGAUGUUGGCUUAGAAGCAGCCAUCAUUUAAAGAAAGCGUAAUAGCUCACUGGUCGAGUCGGCCUGCGCGGAAGAUGUAACGGGGCUAAACCAUGCACCGAAGCUGCGGCAGCGACACUGUGUGUUGUUGGGUAGGGGAGCGUUCUGUAAGCCUGUGAAGGUGUACUGUGAGGUAUGCUGGAGGUAUCAGAAGUGCGAAUGCUGACAUAAGUAACGAUAAAGCGGGUGAAAAGCCCGCUCGCCGGAAGAC
RNAcentral lists this ribosomal RNA (261 nucleotides) under Escherichia coli. Its description in RNAcentral is "partial 23S ribosomal RNA". It matches the Rfam family "Bacterial large subunit ribosomal RNA", at positions 1085 to 1345 of the family's 2925-position model. Lineage: Bacteria; Pseudomonadati; Pseudomonadota; Gammaproteobacteria; Enterobacterales; Enterobacteriaceae. The record is from RNAcentral.